This 467-nucleotide ribosomal RNA is filed under the name uncultured bacterium. Its description in RNAcentral is "partial 16S ribosomal RNA". It matches the Rfam family "Bacterial small subunit ribosomal RNA", at positions 28 to 506 of the family's 1533-position model. The record is from RNAcentral.
GACGAACGCUGGCGGCGUGCUUAACACAUGCAAGUCGAACGGAAAGGCCCUGCUUUUGUGGGGUGCUCGAGUGGCGAACGGGUGAGUAACACGUGAGUAACCUGCCCUUGACUUUGGAAUAACUUCAGGAAACUGGGGCUAAUACCGGAUAGGAGCUCCUGCUGCAUGGUGGGGGUUGGAAAGUUUCGGCGGUUGGGGAUGGACUCGCGGCUUAUCAGCUUGUUGGUGGGGUAGUGGCUUACCAAGGCUUUGACGGGUAGCCGGCCUGAGAGGGUGACCGGCCACAUUGGGACUGAGAUACGGCCCAGACUCCUACGGGAGGCAGCAGUGGGGAAUAUUGCACAAUGGGCGGAAGCCUGAUGCAGCAACGCCGCGUGCGGGAUGACGGCCUUCGGGUUGUAAACCGCUUUCGCCUGUGACGAAGCGUGAGUGACGGUAAUGGGUAAAGAAGCACCGGCUAACUACGU